UGCUGGAAUCCACCCCCAAACAGCAUCACUUUCAAUGGUGAGCCCAGGGACUAGGGAGCCCAGAUUCUCCACUCAAUCCACCUUAAGGAGAGAACCUGGGUUCCGCAGUUAAAACAACAUUGAAAGUGAUGCUGUUUUGGGGUGGAUUAUCUCCCACCCUGAAACAGCAUCACUUUCAAUGUGGAGUAGUGGUUAAGAGAAGGUGCGCUCUAAUCUGGGAAACCGGG
Long non-coding RNA from Sphaerodactylus townsendi, 227 nucleotides. RefSeq lists it as uncharacterized. Lineage: Eukaryota; Metazoa; Chordata; Lepidosauria; Squamata; Sphaerodactylidae. The record is from RefSeq and is a predicted model, not a curated record. The transcript has 3 exons.